CACGCAGUAAACGAUGAUUACUAGGAGUUUGCGAUAGACAGUAAGCUCCCGAGCGAAAGCGUUAAGUAAUCCACCUGGGGAGUACGCCGGCAACGGUGAAACUCAAAGGAAUUGACGGGGGCCCGCACAAGCGGUGGAGCAUGUGGUUUAAUUCGAAGCAACGCGAAGAACCUUACCAAGGCUUGACAUCCCUCUGACCGGUGUAGAGAUACACCUUCUCUUCGGAGCAGAGGUGACAGGUGG
This 243-nucleotide ribosomal RNA is filed under the name uncultured bacterium. RNAcentral describes it as "partial 16S ribosomal RNA". It matches the Rfam family "Bacterial small subunit ribosomal RNA", at positions 796 to 1041 of the family's 1533-position model. The record is from RNAcentral.